This 496-nucleotide ribosomal RNA is filed under the name uncultured bacterium. Its description in RNAcentral is "partial 16S ribosomal RNA". It matches the Rfam family "Bacterial small subunit ribosomal RNA", at positions 28 to 507 of the family's 1533-position model. The record is from RNAcentral.
GAUGAACGCUGGCGGCGUGCCUAAUACAUGCAAGUCGAGCGAACAGACGAGGAGCUUGCUCCUCUGACGUUAGCGGCGGACGGGUGAGUAACACGUGGAUAACCUACCUAUAAGACUGGGAUAACUUCGGGAAACCGGAGCUAAUACCGGAUAAUAUAUUGAACCGCAUGGUUCAAUAGUGAAAGACGGUUUUGCUGUCACUUAUAGAUGGAUCCGCGCCGCAUUAGCUAGUUGGUAAGGUAACGGCUUACCAAGGCAACGAUGCGUAGCCGACCUGAGAGGGUGAUCGGCCACACUGGACUGAGACACGGUCCAGACUCCUACGGGAGGCAGCAGUAGGGAAUCUUCCGCAAUGGGCGAAAGCCUGACGGAGCAACGCCGCGUGAGUGAUGAAGGUCUUCGGAUCGUAAAACUCUGUUAUUAGGGAAGAACAAAUGUGUAAGUAACUAUGCACGUCUUGACGGUACCUAAUCAGAAAGCCACGGCUAACUACGUG